Unclassified non-coding RNA from Aotus nancymaae (Ma's night monkey), 97 nucleotides. It matches the Rfam family "Y RNA". From Rfam's summary of the family: Y RNAs are components of the Ro ribonucleoprotein particle (Ro RNP), in association with Ro60 and La proteins. The Y RNAs and Ro60 and La proteins are well conserved, but the function of the Ro RNP is not known. The record is from Ensembl. NCBI's taxonomy places the organism in Eukaryota, Metazoa, Chordata, Mammalia, Primates, Aotidae.
AGCUAGUCCAAGUGCAGCAGUUAUUUACAGCUAACUGAUCACAAUUAGAUUUCUUUAUUCCCUCUCCACUCUCACUGCUUCACUUGACUAGUCCCCC